This 66-nucleotide transfer RNA is filed under the name Diaphanosoma dubium. Its description in RNAcentral is "tRNA-Glu". The record is from RNAcentral. Lineage: Eukaryota; Metazoa; Arthropoda; Branchiopoda; Diplostraca; Sididae.
GCUGUUAUAGUAUAAUAAUUACCUUACAUUUUCAUUGUAAAAAUAAGAGGCUACUCUUUAACGGUA